Molecule: long non-coding RNA, 2212 nt
Organism: Chrysemys picta bellii (western painted turtle)
Lineage: Eukaryota; Metazoa; Chordata; Testudines; Emydidae
Source: Ensembl
CAACCUACUCCACAACAAAAAGGUACAAAAUAAUCAAAGCUGUAGACCCAGCAGCUGGGGUUUUAGGACCUCAGCCUCACAUCACAAUCAAUUCUUUGAAAUCUGAGAAAUGUUGCGGUUAAAAGAACAGCUUUCAAACAAAGACAGAGGAGGAAGAAAAACUCCACCUAAAAUAUUUACCCUGCCAGCAAGAGUAUUUGUACCCUUUUCUUGUUCCAAGUCUUUUAUCUGUUUUACAGUAUAACCGGCAGCAGGCCCUUCUCUCUCUCAGCAAGAUUUCUUCUGUCUCUCAGCAGCUCCUGUCUUGACUGCGUGCCACUUGUCUUUCUAUUCCCUUGAGCACAAGCUCCCAUUAGUAACCUUCUCAUUUCAUGAAGCCAAAAAAAAAAGUGAUUUUCAAGCUAAAUCUCAGCAAGUUAAUCAACUGGGCUUCCAACAACUUCUCUGGCAAUCACAUUCCUUUGUCUUUUUGUUUAUUAGAUGUGUUACAUACAGGAGCCUGACAUGAUAGAGAUUACCGCUUCAAGGAAUUUGGAUGAGUCCCAACAGAAUCAUGACCUUUUGGUACAUAGCUUGCAUUCAAUACAAAGAAAUGGCUUCUACUCUGGUCUCCAGCUCUUCUGAAGUGCAGACCAUUAGCCACCAUCCAUCCAUCCAGGAUGAAAUACUAAAGCUGUCUAAAGCUGGGACUACAUCUUUAAAAAACAAUGAAGCAGCCCAAGCUCUGAGCAUGUUCAAGAAAGCGUACAUUCUGGCUGAUGGGGUUCCUGAGACGCAAAGUCAGAAGAUGUGCCUCUUCAAUUUAGGGGCUGCCUAUAUUGCUAUGGGCAAACCAAAGAAAGGACUGAAGUGCCUGCUGAAGUGUAAAUCAAAGGGAUCUGUGGAGAAAGAUGGUGAUUUCUACUUUAACAUUGCAGCUGCUUAUGAGGAAAUGAAGGAGUACUCUAAAGCGGUGAAGUUUUACCAGAGAGCUAUUAGUGAAUACAUACCUAGUGAAACACAAAGCAUCUCAGAUGCUUUGAUCAAACUUGGCUAUUGUUCAGUGAAUGUAGGAGACCUUCCCUCAGCUGCACGUUCCUUUAAGCUUGCCAGCCACUCCUACCAAAAGACAGAGAAAACUGAAGAUGCUGCCAUGGCCAUGAGGGAGGCAGUCAGCUAUAUGAUACGGAGUCAAAAGUUCUCAAAGGCAGAAGUGCUCAAGACUUUAGCUGAAUGUGCACAGCUGUGUUCUGGAAUCACUAACCAGGAUUUGUUAGGCAAACUCUACAACCACAUUGGAUUGCACUAUGCUGAAAUGAUGUGCUUCCACCAAGCUGGGAAAUACUUUAUCAAAGCCAUGCAAAUCUGCAGUGGGGCAAACUUUUCUAUACGGAAGAGAGCUGUAUUACUACAAAACCUGGGAGCGAUCUACAAUGCUUUAUGCCAGUAUGAAAAGUCAUUGAGAUUUCACGGCGAGGCAGCACAUCUGUACGGUGAGGUGUCAAACAUGUGAUUCAUUCUGCAGGGUGGAGAGGUUCACCUCCCCCAAGCCUGAAGGAUCAGACGGGCAUCAGCAUCUUGACUUUACAAACCUGUCAAAAAUCCAGCAAGGCCCUGGCACCAGCUCCUGAUGUGGUUUUUUGAGCAAGUCCCUGCCACUCCUGACUAGCCCUCCUUAGUUUGGCCCUAGUCGAGGCAGUUCUUGGACCAUCCCCUCUAACUGAAUUUAGCAGUCUGCAUCAGUCUCUUGACUGUGUUUGUGGAUGAGGCCUAGUACAGGAAUGAUGCUUCUUUGUGUUUCAGGCCUUUCUACCUCACCUUUUGUCUCUGUAUUCUCUCUUUUAUAGCAAGCCUUGUUGCCUUCAUUGGCUGCAGCUGUGGGUGCCUGCCUCCUUGACUGGCCGCUGUGGCAGCUGCAUGGGGGUGUGGUCAAGCUGCUUGCCUGUAGAUAUGAGAGGUUCUUCUCCCACUUCUGUCUCUGAGCAGUAUGGGGUUUGUAGACUCCAUUGCAGGCCCCAGUUCAGCAAAGCAUUCAAGCACAUACUUAACUUUAUGUCAAUGGGAUUUAAACACAUGCUUAAGUAUUUUGCUGAAUUGGCUACAAAAUUUGGGACAGAAUCAGCAAAAUUAUUUUGUGCCAUCUUCUUGCCUAUGAAAUGUUUUAAGGAAGAAAAUUUGGGGAAUGGGUGAAUAUGCUAAUAAAGAUUUAAGGUUAAGCCUCUCGCUUGAAAUA